This 5989-nucleotide long non-coding RNA is filed under the name Equus caballus (horse). RNAcentral describes it as "lncRNA (ENSECAG00000059639.1)". Lineage: Eukaryota; Metazoa; Chordata; Mammalia; Perissodactyla; Equidae. The record is from RNAcentral.
UUUAAUUAUUGCACAGUUUAAAAUUUUAAUAUUUAGUGUUACAUGCACUUUUCAUAAGACAUACUUUCUAAAAAUUCUCUUUUUUUGGUCUUAAUUUUUCCAAAGAACAGUAAAGUUAAUUUUCAGAAUUGAAAACACAAACUGAUUGGAAUUUGAGUUAGAAAUGUGAUAAAAUACAAAUCAAUUCAGUAAUUUUCUACUUUAAAGAUAUUCCAAUUUUCGCAUCAGGAUUGGGGUCAGUAUCCCCAUCAGGAUCACUCUACUGACUUGAGUUCUAUAUUUUUCCAGUAAAUCAUCAUAUUUUCAUGAUACAUGUCCUAUCUUUUUCUAUUAGUUUAACUCUAGAGAUUUUAUAUUCUUUAGGAAGUCUCAUGCAUGUGACCUGCCUCAAAUAACUAAUCACUGGUUCCAGCAAGGGCUCACAGCCCUGUGAACAAGCCUCCCCAAGACUGAGUUCUCCAAGGGGCAUGAUCGCUGGUUCUCUCCAUUCUAUGCACCAGAAUCUGACUCUAAGGAUGAGAGAGCGUGCACCAUUUCAGACAGCUACAUGCAACUAUGCCCAAAACUCUUUAACUUGAAAAUACUGUCUGAACUCUCUGCUUUAAGGAUUGUUAUAUGCAACGUAUUCUGUGUAUGUAAAUGCAAUAAUCCUUUUUGGAGGUACAUUGUUUUAGCUGUCUCCAACGCCCCUCUCAGAGUCAGUGCCACUUGCCAGAAUCAACUCAUAAAGGAGAAACCGCUGAAGACAAUGCAAAGAUAGCACGAGACAUAACAGAACAUGAAAGCGUGGGGCUAAUUUUAUGCAUCAACCUGACUUGGCCACACGGUGUCCAGACAUCAGCUAAAUGUUAUUUUGGAUGUGUCUCUCGGGGCAUUCCAGAUAAGAUUAGCAUCUGAAUCAGUGGACGGUCCCAUAAAGCAGACUGGUCUCCCCAGCGUGGGGGGCCUCACCCAACCUGCUGAGGACCUGAACAGAACAGAAGGUGGAGGAUGGAGAACUGUGCCUGACUCGGGAGCUGAGACAUCAGUCUUCUCCUGCCCUCGCACUGGAAUUUACACUCUGGUCCUCCUUCAGACUUGGGCUAGAGCUCACAACACAGGCUCUCCUGGGUCCCAGGCCUUCUGACUCAGACCAAAAAUACACCACUGGCCUUGCUGGGUCUCCAGCUGGGAGACAGCAGAUUGUGGGGCUCAGCCCCCAAAAUGGCAUAAGUCACUUCAUUAUAAAAAAAUCAUAAAUCUCUCUCUCUCUCCCCACACAUAUGCAUGUGUGUGUAUAUAUAUAUAUAUAUAUAUAUAUAUAUAAAAUUGGUUCUCUGGAGAACCCUAAUAUAAAAAAUAGAGUUUAUAAAGAAUUAAUAAUGACUAUAAUUAAUGGUAACAGUUAAUAUGGGACUUUUAUCUUCAAAGUCAUUUCACAAAAUCAUUAUAUCCGAAGGAUAACUUGAUUCAUAAAACAAAAUCUUUCAGUGAAAUAAGCUUUAAUACACCCUCAGAUAUCUAAUAUAUCUACUGAGGGAUGAUUUUCUGGCAGACUGUCCUUCUGGUAAUUCAAAUACUUCUCUCCGGUUGUGGCUUAAACUUGUGUCUGCUUAACAGUUCCUAACGGUUUCUCCCAACUCUAAGUUAAUAAUGAAGAGUUAGAGAAAAACAAAAAUCACCAUGAACAAUUGAAUUGACCGGACUUUCAGGUUAAGAUGGUUGAAUAAAGGUAUUUAAGCCCUUUUCUAAAAAGAAAAUAGAAUCACCCUGAAACAAUGUAAGGUGACCAACCGUGCUGGUUUUCCCGGGACUCAGGCUUCCCAGGACGCUGAACUUUCAGCUGCCGAGUCUGGGACAGUCAAGCAAACCGACACGGCUGAUCGCCCCAGAAAAAGAACAAGAAAAACUCUGUCUCCAAUUGAGGUGAGAAACAGCUGCAGCGCUAACCCCACGAUGUGAUGGGAGGAAUUCCCACGAGGCGGCGGGUCAAACCCAGAGGACAGCAGCGGGGCCAGUGGAGCAGCAGGCCCAGCCUCCCAGCAGAACUCCAGAAAACGUCAGGAAUGAGGGACACCUGUGUGCUCAGGUGGAUGUGAGAAAGGGGCUGACAACAGGAAAGGGCAGAACAGCUGCGUGGGCCCCCCCCCCCCCCAUCACCAGACCCCUCCUAGUUACUCUGAGCCCACCUGCCUUCUCCUUCCAGCCACUGAACCACAACCACCUCUCUGAGCCCGGACCACCCUCGGGUGUGGGCCCCCUAACACCACUUGGCCUGGGCGGCAGAACACAGUUCUAGGCCCUGCCCGGGGCUUCUCUGGGGCCCAGGGAUGUGCGAUGCUGCGGGACCUUGCUGCCGCCCACACAUCCACAGCCCAAAGGCAGGAAGGGCAACACGGGGGGAGGGGCUGGGGACAAUUCUUCAAUCAACAAGAGGAAUGAAACAGGAGAUCAAUUCUCCCACCCUCUCCACACUGCCCCAUCGAUGGCCCUGAUCACAGUUCACACGCUUACUUGCCCUGGACCAGAGGGUGGUCCCGGGAGACCAAGUGGUCAUUCACUUGUCCCGGUGGGCAGAUCAAUAGUGCCCCCUCAUUUGGCCCUGCCCGCCCCAGCCCUUUCCUGUGCCCCUCCCUCCCGCUCCUGGGAUUGCUCUCCAGCAAAGUCCCAGACCUCGCACCCUCCUCCUCAGGCUCUGCUUUCUGGGCCACCCAGGCCCGCCCGCCACCCCCGGAGGCGGCGACAGGCUAUUUCCUGGAGAAAGCGAAUUGAGAGGGUCUGGAACCUGGAGCCUUGAAGAACUGGGACAGGACCCCACCUCCCACUCACUAAAGAGAAUGUGGAGCAAAAAGAAUACGGGACUAGGUCUGUUUUCCGGUGGAAACGUCUCGGGUCUAAAUAUGGCAGCAGCCUGGGGCCCCUGCAGAAGGUGGGGCCGGGCAGUGACUCUUCUUAAGCCAUACGUCAAAGUCGUCUCCUCCACUGUAACUCCUGGAGAAAGUUCUCUCAAACUUCCCCGACUUGAGUUUGUCUCUGUAGAAGUUUGGACGGAAAUGUGACAAAACCCUCGUUUGAGGGAAGCGAUUAAAGCUUGUCCUCACCGGUGGGCAGAGCGACUUGCCCUGUCUUCUCAUACUGACUGCGCUUCAUGGAUUUCUAAUCAGGCGCUGUCCAGAGUGAAAUUUCUUAUGUUCUGGCUUCUAAACAGUGAAAUACGAAUAAAUUCCAUAAUGUGUUUAAAAACAAAACAAACAGCGACAACAAGAAAAAUACCAGCAGGCAGGUCACGUGGAAGGGCCGGGAGGAGGAGAAAAGGGCCGCCCCGCCCCUACAGGAUCACCUGCUGGCCGGGCUGGCCGCCCCCACGCGGGACAGAACCGGGUCCGCCCGCCACGCCUGCGCAUCUCGGGGCGCAUCCUCUGGGCUGCGGACUCCGCGCCCCGAAGAGGGGUCCCGCUUCUGGCCGCCGCUGGUUGCUCACCCAUCAGGAGCCCCGGAGUCCGGAGCAGGAUUCCCACCCGAACCCCUGGGGCGUCCCCGUGGCCGCUGGACCAGAGCCCCGGACAGCCGGCACUGGCACUGGUCUACACUGGCCCAGACCGCCCACCUUCCACCUGCGCAGGAAGGUGUGGAAGGACGGGAGGGCCAGCAGCAGCCUCGGAGACACAUCAAGGCCUGGCGACCUCGAAUGGCAUCCCACGAGGGCGUGGACCGGGGUGGAGGGUGGGGAUUGGAGGAGAAUUAAUCAAUAAAGUUCAAGCCUUUUGAAAGGAAUAACAAUGACCGUUUCUCUCCCGUGUCCCACCUGGCGGAGUGAGUGAAGCAGCCUGCUGUCUCAGUCCAUGUUCUGGUUCAGCUCCUUCAUCCUGCACAGGAAAUGUCUGCAGGGCCAAGUCACUCCAGAACAUUUGGGGGCCGGUACCAUCACACUUAAAGGUAAACGUCCGCCAGCUCAGCUGCCCCCUUGCUAGAUUUGGCAGAACCCAGGAUCUCCUUGGUCCAAUCCGAUGGCUUCUCCUCCUGAACUGUCCCCCAACGCAACGGCUUCUGGGGCCUCAACAGGAAGCUGCCCCCGCCACGUUCCAGCCUCGCGCAGGAGGACAGAGACGCUGGGCUUUGUGCUGCCCGCCUCCUAUGCGCACGUCAGCCGUCAGACCCUCAAGCCCCGCAGAUGCAUUCCUCCCUGUCCCCCGACACUGAGCGGACUGUCCCCGGGAGACACGUUCGCUGCUGAGACGAGAGGGAAACCCUCCCCACCGUGCCCAGGCUGGCAGGGCGCUCAGCUGGAGCUCCGAAAACAAACCCGUGUCCGUCUCAGCAGGUGGUCCUUCUGUCUGUCUCUGCGGGAUGGUCCUCUACACACAUUUCCCCAGGAAAUUUAAUCAAAGACUGCAUUUGGAGGCAAGACUCGAACGUGAAUAAGUCUUCCUGGCAACACGCUUUUCUCUUCCUAGGAAUCGGUCAACACGGGCGUUUUGUGACGUUCAGGUGCUCUGAGAACUGAGGGAGCAGCCGUGUGCCUAGCAGGAUGCGACGACGAUUAACAGCAGCUAGAAGAUGCUGAUGAAGAAGAGCCUGGAGUCCUCACAUUCUUUUCUUUAGCCUCUUGAAAAAGCUAUAAAGGCAGCAUGAAGAGGAAGCUGUUAGUAGCCAGGAAAUUCGAGAGAAGAACGUUCUGAAAUAGGACUUCUCAGAGGAAAUGAUCACUAAUAGCCCUAAUUCAGGACAUUCCAGACAACAGUCCUAAGAUCAAAGCCGCUCCUCCGCUUCACACACCAGCGGCCGUCUCCUCGCUGCACUCGCCCAGCAGGCACCCUUCGCCAGAACCGGACAAGCUUCGGACUCAAAACACAUCCCUCUGGGAGAAGCCUGGAAAGGCUGAGGGAGGAGACUCUCUCUCCUGGCCUAAGUGUUUUUCAGCCCCUGGAAUGAUUUCCUGUUAUUUCAUUUUGAGCCUCCCUGAGUAUUUCUCACUUAUUCAGUACUCUUAAUCCCCCAGAAGCGUUUUAUUUUUUCUUCCUCCUUUGGUUUUUCUUUCCUUGUCAGAAAGAAAUCUCACUCCCACAGUUGUUUUCUUCUUCUCUGCUGGAGCAGAGAGUUCUAAAAUUACUUCAUUGUGCCAGGUGGUGAGGUCUUUUCAACCUUGAUGGAUGCUGUUCUCGAGCUUAAGCCGUUGUCAUAAAAUGCGUAGUUUACCAACUCUCUCCUCCUUUGUAAAGUUAACUUUAUUCUUAGGAUGCAGCUUUUAAAACUCUGUUCCAAGUUGAGUGUAGCUGCAAAGAGUCAGAUAAUGUUUGGGUGGUGGGGGGAAGGCUCAGCACCCUCGCACGAAACUGCAGGAGCCUUUCGAAUGCUACAAUAUCCGUAUGUGUUUAGAGAAAUAUAAUUGUUCACUGCAAAUGUCAAAGAAGGUUUAUUUACAAAGAAGGAUUAUGGUCACUAACUAGAUCAAAAUUAGGAGAGAAUGAUCAUAGGAACAAAUUAUACCCAAGGACAUUUACUCAUUCUUCUUAAACAGAGUAUAGCAAUUACCUUUUCUCAGACUCUCUCCUUGCAGAAUCUCACAGACAUUCAGGAUGGGCGGGCUUCAGCGGCCCUCAGAUAUAACCACAUCCCUGAAAAAUAAUCUCUCAGCCUAGUCCUAACCCCCUCUAGCAAUGGAAAACACCCUCUCCAAAGGCUGCCUUUCUCCUUGGAUUUUGGCUUUCCUGGAAUAACUCAGCGCCUUAAGUAUAAACACAUAGAGAAACCACUGCCCCCACGCAGGAAGCUGACUCCUCGUUGUCAAUACUCAGUACUCAUGCCGCUCUGGCCCAGCCACUCUGACCUGACCUUGAGACACAGCCAUGCCUCUCUCUCAUUUCCUUUGAAACUGUGAAAAGAGGAGAAAGUAUAUCAAGAGGAGUGACGUUUUACAGACAUGCCAUCACUUCUGCCAGAUUCCCUGUGACAUCAAUGAAACGAAGGCUUCACCCUGGGGUCAGACCUGUCGCACCUCCCUCUCCGUGGC